RNAcentral lists this ribosomal RNA (408 nucleotides) under uncultured eukaryote. Its description in RNAcentral is "SSU rRNA". It matches the Rfam family "Eukaryotic small subunit ribosomal RNA", at positions 567 to 990 of the family's 1831-position model. The record is from RNAcentral.
CCAGCAGCCGCGGUAAUUCCAGCUCCAAUAGCGUCUAUUAAAGUUGUUGCAGUUAAAAAGCUCGUAGUUGAACUUCUGGCUGUGGCUCCAGCAGGCUUCGGUCGCUGGCGUCGCGGUCAUCCGCUUGGGAACUACGUUCGGACUUCACUGUUCGGCGUAAGGAACAGGCAUUUUACUUAGAAAAAAUUAGAGUGUUCAAAGCAGGCCUACGCUUGAAUACAUUAGCAUGGAAUAAUGGAAUAGGACUUUGGUGCUAUUUCGUUGGUUAAUGGGACCGAAGUAAUGAUUAAAAGGGACAGUUGGGGCCGUUUAUAUUUCGUUGUCAGAGGUGAAAUUCUUGGAUUUACGAAAGAUAAACUUCUGCGAAAGCAUUCGGCAAGGAUGUUUUCAUUGAUCAAGAACGAAAAU